RNAcentral lists this ribosomal RNA (777 nucleotides) under uncultured bacterium. Its description in RNAcentral is "bacterial SSU rRNA". It matches the Rfam family "Bacterial small subunit ribosomal RNA", at positions 728 to 1501 of the family's 1533-position model. The record is from RNAcentral.
CCUGGUCAGAAACUGACGCUGAGGUACGAAAGCGUGGGGAGCAAACAGGAUAUAAAUACCCUGGUAGUCCACGCCGUAAACGAUGUCAACUAGCCUGUUCGUUUCAUAAACGAAGUGAGUAACGCAGCUAACGCACUAAGUUGACCGCCUGGGGAGUACGGCCGCAAGGUUAAAACUCAAAUGAAUUGACGGGGGCCCGCACAAGCGGUGGAGCAUGUGGUUUAAUUCGAUGCAACGCGAAGAACCUUACCAUCCCUUGACAUCCAGUGAAUUUUCUAGAGAUAGAUGAGUGCCUUCGGGAACACUGAGACAGGUGCUGCAUGGCUGUCGUCAGCUCGUGUUGUGAGAUGUUGGGUUAAGUCCCGCAACGAGCGCAACCCUUAUCCUUAGUUGCCAGCGCGUAAUGGUGGGAACUCUGGGGAGACUGCCGGUGAUAAACCGGAGGAAGGUGGGGACGACGUCAAGUCAUCAUGGCCCUUACGGGAUGGGCUACACACGUGCUACAAUGGCGCGUACAAUGGGAAGCUAACUCGCGAGAGUGUGCGGAUCUCAAAAAGCGCGUCGUAGUCCGGAUUGGAGUCUGCAACUCGACUCCAUGAAGUCGGAAUCGCUAGUAAUCGUGGAUCAGAGUGCCACGGUGAAUACGUUCCCGGGCCUUGUACACACCGCCCGUCACACCAUGGGAGUGGGCUGCACCAGAAGUAGAUAGCUUAACCUUCGGGAGGGCGUUUACCACGGUGUGGUUCAUGACUGGGGUGAAGUCGUAACAAGGUAACC